ACAGAGGGUGCGAGCGUUGUCCGGAAUCACUGGGCGUAAAGGGCGCGUAGGCGGCUUGAUAAGGUUGCGGUGAAAGCCCGGGGCUCAACCCCGGGUCGGCCGUGGCAACUGUCGAGCUGGAGCACUGUAGAGGCAGACGGAAUUCCGGGUGUAGCGGUGGAAUGCGUAGAGAUCCGGAGGAAGACCGGUGGCGAAGGCGGUCUGCUGGGCAGUUUCUGACACUGAGGCGCGACAGCGUGGGGAGCAAACAGGA
Molecule: ribosomal RNA, 253 nt
Filed under: uncultured prokaryote
Description: partial 16S ribosomal RNA
Rfam family: Bacterial small subunit ribosomal RNA
Source: RNAcentral